Molecule: unclassified non-coding RNA, 531 nt
Filed under: Hevea brasiliensis (rubber tree)
Lineage: Eukaryota; Viridiplantae; Streptophyta; Magnoliopsida; Malpighiales; Euphorbiaceae
Source: RNAcentral
UCGCUUGGCCAGAAGUAUUCCAUGCAUCCCAUAAACUAGGGCCCAGCAUAUCCAUAACCAUUAUGUAGUAGUCUCCCUGCCGCCCUUUAUAGUGUACCCUAGGUACCCCAUAAGUACUACCAAGAGCACUGUAAACUUGCCAUUCAUAUGGAGGACCAGAGUUGCAGCCUUUGCUGCUCCUAUGCUCAAAUUUUAUAGCUACCUCCAGAGAGCCCGUUAUGCGAUCGUUGCCACCAGCCGCGCGACGACCAACAAAAACUUGACCAAACCCACCUUUGCCCAACUUCCUCUCAACUCUGUACAGAGGAGAUCCUCCUACCUGAACCUUCUCAGGGAAAGGAAGUGUGUUCCCUUCCUCUUCAUCACCAGCCGCAUUGUUAGCACUCACACCACCGCUGUCGUCCAUCUCCUGGGCCGCAGACUCCGACCUCUCCGCUGCAACAAUCGGUUCCUCCCUAACCUGUUCCUCAACUUCCAGUUCCUUGUCCUCCUCAACAACAACCGGCUUCUCCGCCGACCUCUCCCGCGCCG